This 132-nucleotide small RNA is filed under the name Klebsiella pneumoniae. Its description in RNAcentral is "RtT sRNA". It matches the Rfam family "RtT RNA". Rfam says of the family: This family represents a bacterial cis-regulatory element known as RtT RNA. The exact function of RtT is unknown although it is thought that it may be involved in changing the cellular response in relation to amino acid starvation. Lineage: Bacteria; Pseudomonadati; Pseudomonadota; Gammaproteobacteria; Enterobacterales; Enterobacteriaceae. RNAcentral also lists the same sequence under 5 other names. The record is from RNAcentral.
UAUUCUGCCCUACGGGGAAGGAUGAGAAGCUUCGACUAAGGUUCGACUCGAGCGUAGCGAGAGAACGUUGCCGCAGGCAACGGCCCGAAGGGCGAGGCGCUUUAGCGCCGAGUAAUCCUUCCCCCACCACCA